GCAUGUCUCAGUACAAGCCAAAUUAAGGUGAAACCGCGAAAGGCUCAUUAAAUCAGUUAUGGUUCCUUAGAUCGUACCCACAUUUACUUGGAUAACUGUGGUAAUUCUAGAGCUAAUACAUGCAAACAGAGCUCCGACCGGAGACGGAAGGAGCGCUUUUAUUAGAUCAAAACCAAUCGGCGGCGGGUUCGCCCGUCGUCGUACAUCUUGGUGACUCUGAAUAACUUUUUGCUGAUCGCACGGUCCAGCACCGGCGACGCAUCUUUCAAAUGUCUGCCUUAUCAACUGUCGAUGGUAGGUUCUGCGCCUACCAUGGUUGUAACGGGUAACGGGGAAUCAGGGUUCGAUUCCGGAGAGGGAGCCUGAGAAACGGCUACCACAUCCAAGGAAGGCAGCAGGCGCGCAAAUUACCCACUCCCGGCACGGGGAGGUAGUGACGAAAAAUAACGAUACGGGACUCAUCCGAGGCCCCGUAAUCGGAAUGAGUACACUCUAAACCCUUUAACGAGGAUCAAUUGGAGGGCAAGUCUGGUGCCAGCAGCCGCGGUAAUUCCAGCUCCAAUAGCGUAUAUUAAAGUUGUUGCGGUUAAAAAGCUCGUAGUCGAAUCUGUGUCUCGCGCCGCCGGUUCAUCGCUCGCGGUGUUUAACUGGCGUGUCGCGGGACGUCCUGCCGGUGGGCUUAGCCUCCUUCGCGGGGGGCGGCCCAACUACGCAUCCCGCCGCGGUGCUCUUCGCUGAGUGUCGAGGUGGGCCGGCACGUUUACUUUGAACAAAUUAGAGUGCUUAAAGCAGGCUCAAACUUCGCCUGAAUAUUCUGUGCAUGGAAUAAUGGAAUAGGACCUCGGUUCWAUUUUGUUGGUUUUCGGAACCCCGAGGUAAUGAUUAAUAGGAACGGAUGGGGGCAUUCGUAUUGCGACGUUAGAGGUGAAAUUCUUGGAUCGUCGCAAGACGGACGGAAGCGAAAGCAUUUGCCAAAAACGUUUUCAUUGAUCAAGAACGAAAGUUAGAGGUUCGAAGGCGAUCAGAUACCGCCCUAGUUCUAACCAUAAACGAUGCCAGCUAGCGAUCCGCCNACGUUCCUCCGAUGACUCGGCGGGCAGCUUCCGGGAAACCAAAGCUUUUGGGUUCCGGGGGAA
This 1136-nucleotide ribosomal RNA is filed under the name Cyloma lineatus. Its description in RNAcentral is "SSU rRNA". Lineage: Eukaryota; Metazoa; Arthropoda; Insecta; Coleoptera; Hydrophilidae. The record is from RNAcentral.